CUGAUGAGGUUCACCUGUUGAUGUGACGCACAACAGGGACGGAGAAUUGAAGAGAGUACUGGGCGAGGACACAGUGCCGUUCUGGGAGGAAAUCACUUGCAGCCAAAGAGAAGGUGUUUAUCCUGAGGAAAACCUACCUUUUAAAAAUGAGACUGAACUGAAAACCUGUCACUGAGCUGCCUGGCCAAGGAGGAAAAAGAGAUGAGAAGCAGCCAAGAAAAAUAUGGAGGUCCAGCUCUGCCAAGAACUGCCAGAUCACUUGCAAGUCAAAAUCUUGUCAAUAGCAAGGAAUGUCACUGGCUUUAAUCCUGUAGAUGUAUAUCCCUUUUAUUUCUUUCAUGACCGGCUUUGUCCUCUGACACAUUUUGCUCGAGCUAAAUUUGAUGACUCCCUCUCCGCUGCCACUUUCCUCUUGGAUGGACCCCUCGGGGUACAAGAGUGUCACGGACUGCUGCACCACCCCAUCCCGAUGUCCGUCGCCCCCAGCACAGUCGUAUGCCUUCUCCCCAACCCUGCAGUGCCGCUUUGCAGAGGCAGAUUAUACUUGAUGACUUCAUCUUAAUCACAUUGUUUCAUUUUCUUUUAUCAGUGCAGCCGUCAUGCUACACUGACUGCAAAAUACUCCAUAAGUGGGUUCACACAAGCCUCUUAUGCAUUCACAUGUAGGGGAGAGGAAUGCUCACAACCCAGAACUGCUUUUGAUUAAUUUGAAGGAAAAACUUUAAAGUCAAACUCUGCAUGAUUAAAUUACUUUUAAAUGGCUGUGACUUUUAAUCUUUAACCACAGAGGAUUUUCUACUUUAUGUUGGAGCAAAACAAACAGAAAAUGAACAAGUGUUAAAUAUUUGUGAAAACUAAUUUAUUUUUAUUUUUUUUAGCCUUUGUUUCAUAUUAUGUUGUGUGCUCUCACUUGGUCUAAUUGGAGAUAAGACAUUUAUCAUUCAUGUAGAUUAUGGUUUUAAUUAACUGUUAAGAUUCAAUAGGUCUUUAUUGCCAUGACAGGUCUGUUUGAGGAUCCAAACACGGGCAGAACGGUGACAAAAUGAAACACUCUGCGUUACAAAUGUGCACAAAACUUUCAGUAUUCUGUAAUUGUCAAAAAAGCACACUUUUGCAUUGUGGUGCUUUCAUUAAAUAAGAAAUGCAAUUAAACGUAAUUUCACAUAUUAAAAUGAUAAAACAAACGUAAAGCAUGAUCUCCAUGCUUUUGCUUAAAAUUCUAACAAUUGAAUACUUAUUGCUGUAUUAAGCUACCUGAUCCAUUUCUCAGUCCUACUUCAUGCAUCAUUGCACAAUUAA
Long non-coding RNA from Poecilia latipinna (sailfin molly), 1299 nucleotides. RefSeq lists it as uncharacterized. NCBI's taxonomy places the organism in Eukaryota, Metazoa, Chordata, Actinopteri, Cyprinodontiformes, Poeciliidae. The transcript is spliced from 3 exons. The record is from RefSeq and is a predicted model, not a curated record.